AUUGAACGCUGGCGGCAGGCUUAACACAUGCAAGUCGAGCGGGGGAAGGUAGCUUGCUACUGGACCUAGCGGCGGACGGGUGAGUAAUGCUUAGGAAUCUGCCUAUUAGUGGGGGACAACAUCUCGAAAGGGAUGCUAAUACCGCAUACGUCCUACGGGAGAAAGCAGGGGAUCUUCGGACCUUGCGCUAAUAGAUGAGCCUCAGUCGGAUUAGCUAGUUGGUGGGGUAAAGGCCUACCAAGGCGACGAGCUGUAGCGGGUCUGAGAGGAUGAGCCGCCACACUGGGACUGAGACACGGCCCAGACUCCUACGGGAGGCAGCAGUGGGGAAUAUUGGACAAUGGGGGGAACCCUGAUCCAGCCAUGCCGCGUGUGUGAAGAAGGCCUUAUGGUUGUAAAGCACUUUAAGCGAGGAGGAGGCUACUCUAGUUAAUACCUAGGGAUAGUGGACGUUACUCGCAGAAUAAGCACCGGCUAACUCUGUGCCAGCCGCCGCCGUAA
This 501-nucleotide ribosomal RNA is filed under the name uncultured bacterium. Its description in RNAcentral is "partial 16S ribosomal RNA". It matches the Rfam family "Bacterial small subunit ribosomal RNA", at positions 30 to 523 of the family's 1533-position model. The record is from RNAcentral.